CCAAUAGCGUAUAUUAAAGUUGUUGCAGUUAAAAAGCUCGUAGUUGAAUUUCGGGAUUGACACAUCGGUCGUGCCUUAAGGGGUAUGAACUGGUGUAGUCAAUUUCUCACCUUCUGGAGAACCGCGAUGCCCUUAAUUGGGUGUCGCGGGGAACCAGGACCUUUACUUUGAAAAAAUUAGAGUGUUUAAAGCAGGCAUUUUGCUUGAAUACAUUAGCAUGGAAUAAUAAAAUAGGACGGCAUGAUUCUAUUUUGUUGGUUUCUAGGAUCACCGUAAUGAUUAAUAGGGAUAGUUGGGGGCAUUAGUAUUCAAUUGUCAGAGGUGAAAUUCUUGGAUUUAUUGAAGACUAACUACUGCGACAGCAUUUGCCAAGGAUGUUUUCAUUAAUCAAGAACGAAAGUUAGGGGAUCGAAGACGAUCAGAUACCGUCGUAGUCUUAACCAUAAACUAUGCCGACUAGGAAUCAGACGAUGUUAAUUUUUUAAUGACUCGUUUGGCACCUUACG
This 506-nucleotide ribosomal RNA is filed under the name uncultured Glomeromycotina. RNAcentral's name for it is "partial small subunit ribosomal RNA". It matches the Rfam family "Eukaryotic small subunit ribosomal RNA", at positions 591 to 1092 of the family's 1831-position model. Lineage: Eukaryota; Fungi; Glomeromycota. The record is from RNAcentral.